CAUGCAGUCGACGAUGAAAUCACUUCGGUGGUGGAUUAGUGGCGAACGGGUGAGUAACACGUGGGCAAUCUGCCCUUCACUCUGGGACAAGCCCUGGAAACGGGGUCUAAUACCGGAUAAYACUCUGUYCCGCAUGGGACGGGGUUGAAAGCUCCGGCGGUGAAGGAUGAGCCCGCGGCCUAUCAGCUUGUUGGUGGGGUAAUGGCCUACCAAGGCGACGACGGGUAGCCGGCCUGAGAGGGCGACCGGCCACACUGGGACUGAGACACGGCCCAGACUCCUACGGGAGGCAGCAGUGGGGAAUAUUGCACAAUGGGCGAAAGCCUGAUGCAGCGACGCCGCGUGAGGGAUGACGGCCUUCGGGUUGUAAACCUCUUUCAGCAGGGAAGAAGCGAAAGUGACGGUACCUGCAGAAGAAGCGCCGGCUAACUACGUGCCAGCAGCCGCGGUAAUACGUAGGGCGCAAGCGUUGUCCGGAAUUAUUGGGCGUAAAGAGCUCGUAGGCGGCUUGUCACGUCGGAUGUGAAAGCCCGGGGCUUAACCCCGGGUCUGCAUUCGAUACGGGCUAGCUAGAGUGUGGUAGGGGAGAUCGGAAUUCCUGGUGUAGCGGUGAAAUGCGCAGAUAUCAGGAGGAACACCGGUGGCGAAGGCGGAUCUCUGGGCCAUUACUGACGCUGAGGAGCGAAAGCGUGGGGAGCGAACAGGAUUAGAUACCCUGGUAGUCCACGCCGUAAACGUUGGGAACUAGGUGUUGGCGACAUUCCACGUCGUCGGUGCCGCAGCUAACGCAUUAAGUUCCCCCGCCUGGGGAGUACGGCCGCAAGGCUAAAACUCAAAGGAAUUUGACGGGGGCC
RNAcentral lists this ribosomal RNA (854 nucleotides) under Streptomyces sp. RNAcentral describes it as "bacterial SSU rRNA". The record is from RNAcentral. Lineage: Bacteria; Bacillati; Actinomycetota; Actinomycetes; Kitasatosporales; Streptomycetaceae.